CGGGCGUAGCAAUACGUCAGCGGCAGACGGGUGAGUAACGCGUGGGAACGUACCUUUUGGUUCGGAACAACACAGGGAAACUUGUGCUAAUACCGGAUAAGCCCUUACGGGGAAAGAUUUAUCGCCGAAAGAUCGGCCCGCGUCUGAUUAGCUAGUUGGUAGGGUAAUGGCCUACCAAGGCGACGAUCUGUAACCGGCCUGAGAGGGCGGUCGGUCACAUUGACACUGACAUACGGGUCAG
RNAcentral lists this ribosomal RNA (241 nucleotides) under uncultured bacterium. RNAcentral describes it as "partial 16S ribosomal RNA". It matches the Rfam family "Bacterial small subunit ribosomal RNA", at positions 67 to 334 of the family's 1533-position model. The record is from RNAcentral.